Long non-coding RNA from Apteryx rowi (Okarito brown kiwi), 2224 nucleotides. NCBI's taxonomy places the organism in Eukaryota, Metazoa, Chordata, Aves, Apterygiformes, Apterygidae. The record is from Ensembl.
GCGAGCCGGGUUGGUCCCCAGCGCCCCCGGCCCGCGAAGCGGCCGUCGCCGCCGUGUUAGCGCCGGCGGGCUCCGUGGUGACAGCCGUGUCUCCCCUUCUCCGGCACGUCUGUUGCGGCGGCGCCAGCCCGCUCCCUCUGCCGCCAGCAGUCCCUGUUCCCUGCUCGGUCCCUCACGCUUCCGCCGGGACACGGUCCACACCCCCGUCACGUGACCCGGAGCCAGCCUCACUCCAGCGGGGGCUGCCAUCUUGGAUUCGGACAGGUAUCCUGGCGGCUCCGCUGACAGUGAAGCUGCGGGCGGCCAUCUUGGGUCCGGGCUAGGGAAUCUCCACAGGGGUGAGGCGGCGGCCAUCUUGGGUCCGGGUGUGAAGCCAGUUGGCUUCCCCGCGACGCCCGGAGAGCGGCGCGGGUGUUUUCCCGAGGGAGCCAUGUUGGAUACGGGCAAGCCGAGCCCUCCCGCUGUGGCCAUCUUGAGGCCUGGCAGAGACGCGCCGUCGGGUUCAUGGGUGGAGGAAGGCGGUGUAUCAGCGUGUCCUUCCUGGGUAAUGCUGAAAGGCAAAGUUACUGAAGAACUCGAAGUGGAAUACCUCUGCUUUUUGCCCUGGUAGAGAGGAAUGGGAAGCAGUAGUGUGGUUGGAAGGACUGACACUGCAGGCUUCCUAGAAAAGUCAAGCUACCAGUCCAUCAAUGAAGAAUACAGUCACAACUCUUCUAUUUUGCAAUCAUAAUUCUAUUUUACGUUGCUUUUUUAAUGUUCUUUUGAAUAUGUGCACUUUGGUUGUCCUGUCCCUUCCUCUUUCUUGCGUUUAAUUUCCUGUUCCUUUACUAAUAGCUGCAAUGGACUUUGAGAAGGAAAUAUUUUCAGGAAGAGUGACUUUGAUUUGAAGAAAGGUCUAUAUGCAGAAUGGCAGCAAGAUUUUAAAGAUCCCCUGGGUAUGUUUUUACCUUGUUUCUGUGGUGGGAGCUGGGAUAGGAAGAAGUCGGGAGAACAGAUGCUUGAGGACUCUUGUUAUUCUUGUAACUUAAUUUUAGGCUGAGAAAUGGGGUGAACUGAGAAGUACUUGAACUUUUGAGUGAAUGCUGUUAGCCUCUGGAAAUGCCCCCUACUUCUAUUCUGGAAUAUUUUCCUGGAAUAUUCAGACUGUGCCRUGAACGGAGAUCAUUGUGCCUCCUUAUGUGACUGGGGUUCUUGAGUUUCCACACUAUCAGCGAUCUUGCAGCACUCCUUGCUAGAAGAGAUAGGGCUGAUUUAGUUUGAUGGGUGGCAUUUUGUUUGUUUACAGGGAACUAAUAACCAAAGCAGUGGCUUCUGUCUCAUCUUGGCUUCCAUCAGGAGGUACAUUCUGUCUCUUCCUUCAGUAACUGAACUAUUGCAAUAUGCCACCUUUCCCCUCUGCAGGGUUUUUCUCGAAACAAGAAAAUUGCACUGUCUAGUUUCCCAUCUGUUGCCCGAUUACACGCAAAUAGAAACAGCCGGCCUUGUGAGCAGAGAUACAGGAAGAAGAUGGGGGGUGCUGCUCUUCUGCGAUAGCCACUAGGAGAGACCAACUGUCUGCUGCUGUCACAACCUCUCCUUUCCAGAGAGGUUGGCACAAAGCCCGGGCUACUUUGCCACCUCGUGCCUCUCCCCCUUCUCUUAUCUAGCUGUGCCACAGCUUCCCAGGCUCCUGUGUUGGAUAGAUCUGCCACACCCAUUUCACUUGGACAGAUACUUCCUUUUCCUAAACCCACAUAACUGCCCAGCUGGACGCAGAAAAUAUCCUUGGAGCCAUAGCUGGUAAAAUCUGCUCAAAGGUUUAGUAGAGGUAUAGUGAGGGAAAAGGAUUUAUGAUAAUGACCUUUAUGUGAGGACUAAUUAGACUAAAACAUGCUUUAGGGGACUAAAACAAGAAAACUGCGUGUUGUAAAGUCUUCAAAGAAAUCACACAAGCUAAUAUAAUGUUUAAAUGGAGGAAACGAUCAGAAAUGAUACYUCAGGAACAGAAAGUUAGAGGACGGUGAAUGACUGGCUACUGAAAGAGCCCUGGGCAGGUGCAAAGACCUUUUCCUCUGCAUGUGCAGGUAUGAGACUGCAGGGACAAAUGGAGAUGAGGCAGACCUUGAAAAAGGCUGGGGGUCAGAUUUCUGGAUAUUUUAGCACUUGCAACUGAAAAACUAUUUUUAGUACUGGCAAUAGGUUUUGCAGUGCUCAUAAAUAAAUUCAGCACUCCAAAUCCUGAACA